This is a non-coding RNA of Schizosaccharomyces pombe (fission yeast), 1006 nucleotides long. NCBI's taxonomy places the organism in Eukaryota, Fungi, Ascomycota, Schizosaccharomycetes, Schizosaccharomycetales, Schizosaccharomycetaceae. The record is from the annotation of a GenBank genome assembly.
CCAUAUUCAAGGGAUUGACCGCCAAAAGCACGUUGAUAAAUCUUUCCCUCCUUCGUUCUUGAAAAAGGUACACCAAAAUGUUCCAACUCCAAAACUGCUUUGGGUGCUUCUUUAGUCAUGUAAUGAAUAGCAUCUUGAUCACCCAACCAAUCUGAUCCUUUGACAGUGUCAUAGAAAUGCCAGCGCCAGUCAUCUUUUGUCAUAUUACCGAGUGCAGCGUUGAUACCACCUUGGGCAGCGACAGUAUGGGACCUCGUAGGAAAGAGCUUAGUAAUACAUGCAGUAUUAAAGCCGGCUUCUGCCAAACCAAAAGUAGCACGAAGACCGGCACCUCCGGCACCUACAACGAUAGCAUCGUAUGUAUGGUCAAUGACUGGAUAUUUAACGGAUUCUGAUGUUGAAACUUGCUUUGCUCUUAAAGGCUACAUUGUUAGAUUGUUUAGAAAACUGUUCAUAGAGUAGAGAAACAAAGAAGGGUUGCUUAAAAAUCAUAAAAUUUGCACCGCUUCCAAAAAUAAGACGAGUCACUAAAAAAAAACAUACCUGGCUUGAAGCUAUUUUUUUUAAAGUUGAAGAAGUAGAAAAUAGCUUCAGAUUCCCUCCAUUUUUUAGACUUGGAGCGACUUUUCGAAAUCUGAGCAUUAUAUGUGUUGGAUGUGGUGGAAGGAGAAGCUUUGGUAAUUGGGCAUCUCUUAAGGAAGUACAGCAUCGUUAAGUGCGGAAGUUUGAAAUACCGCCCUUCUUAUUCGUCAACUCCAUAAGCGAAAUCUAAUCAAUACUCUUCUAUUUCCGUGUCUUUAACUUUAACUUACAUUAUUGGCUUAACCCACAUCUCGGUUUAAUGACACAAACUGCUUCAAUACCAUCAUCAUUCAGCUCGUUAAGAAAAGCAGUUUUAGUACUACUCGGUGAAAACCCAAGAACUACGUAUAAAAUAUAUUUUUACUAUUGCUUUGUGCCUCCAAACUUUUCCGAUAAAAAUUAGCUAGCUAAAUCUCGAGGACAA